CUUCAGUGAGUGGAACCUGAUUGUACCCGCUGGCCAGAUCGAUAGUAGAAAACCAGCGGGCACCAGACAGCGCAUCAAGGCUCUCCUCGAUGCGGGGCAGGGGAAUGGAGUCCUUCCUGGUCUUAGU
This is a long non-coding RNA of Thalassophryne amazonica, 127 nucleotides long. RefSeq lists it as uncharacterized. The transcript is spliced from 3 exons. NCBI's taxonomy places the organism in Eukaryota, Metazoa, Chordata, Actinopteri, Batrachoidiformes, Batrachoididae. The record is from RefSeq and is a predicted model, not a curated record.